UGGUGAAUGUGUAGCUACAGGAA
This 23-nucleotide non-coding RNA is filed under the name Rattus norvegicus (Norway rat). The record is from RNAcentral. Lineage: Eukaryota; Metazoa; Chordata; Mammalia; Rodentia; Muridae.